GAUGAACGCUGGCGGCGUGCCUAAUACAUGCAAGUCGAGCGAACAGACGAGGAGCUUGCUCCUCUGACGUUAGCGGCGGACGGGUGAGUAACACGUGGAUAACCUACCUAUAAGACUGGGAUAACUUCGGGAAACCGGAGCUAAUACCGGAUAAUAUAUUGAACCGCAUGGUUCAAUAGUGAAAGACGGUUUUGCUGUCACUUAUAGAUGGAUCCGCGCCGCAUUAGCUAGUUGGUAAGGUAACGGCUUACCAAGGCAACGAUGCGUAGCCGACCUGAGAGGGUGAUCGGACACACUGGAACUGAGACACGGUCCAGACACCUACGGGAGGAAGCAGUAGGGAAUCUUCCGCAAUGGGCGAAAGCCUGACGGAGCAACGCCGCGUGAGUGAUGAAGGUCUUCGGAUCGUAAAACUCUGUUAGUAGGGAAGAACAAAUGUGUAAGUAACUAUGCACGUCUUGACGGUACCUAAUCAGAAAGCCACGGCUAACUACGUG
RNAcentral lists this ribosomal RNA (497 nucleotides) under uncultured bacterium. Its description in RNAcentral is "partial 16S ribosomal RNA". It matches the Rfam family "Bacterial small subunit ribosomal RNA", at positions 28 to 507 of the family's 1533-position model. The record is from RNAcentral.